Long non-coding RNA from Arachis ipaensis, 835 nucleotides. RefSeq lists it as uncharacterized. Lineage: Eukaryota; Viridiplantae; Streptophyta; Magnoliopsida; Fabales; Fabaceae. The record is from RefSeq and is a predicted model, not a curated record.
AGUUGUUUUGAUUGUUUCCUUUUAAUAUUCAAUUGUUAACGGGAGAAGUAUUGACUCCUAAUUAAGACUUUCCCUCUGGCAGGUUCUCUUCCAGCGGCGCGUUCUUCUCCGGCUAGAAUCUCCGUGUGAGAGCAAGAUGCUAGAAUUCAUGGAAGAGCUUUAGAGAGUGACCGAAUCUAGAGGCUCGAAUUCAAAAGAUAAGGUUGAUUAAUACUUAAUUAAGGCUCCGACCACUUAACAUGAUGACUCUCACCUAAGCAACCAAGACUUGCUUAAUGGUUUGUCGUGAAUGCAUCCUUGUGUGGAGUCUUCUGGUGACUUUGGACUGAACCUUUUAAGCAUUAGCAGACAUGCUACACUGCAAUAAGUAUUGCCAAUUUUGUACAUUUUCAUCCCAUACAUAUUGUGUAAAAGCGUGACUUGUUUCAUUUAUUACACCUCUUGCAAUGAUAGAAUCAAUCUUGGUGUUAGCGCUGUAGGAUACCUCAUCCUUGUUUGUGACAAAAUUGGCUUGAAAAAUGUAUGUAUAGGACAGAUUUGGGAAUCCACUUAAGUAAAGGCCAUUCCAAAGUUCAAUCCGGAAGAAUUGGUAUAAUCUCUGUGCUGUCCAAGGAGGGUAGGAGUUGAAAAUAAUUAUGAUAAUUAAUUAGCUCACAGAGAGGGAAGAGAAUAAAAGGGGGAGCUAAUUAGAUGAGAGAUAGAAAAAGAUUUAGAGAAGUCUAGAUUAGGAGAGAAAAGAAUUCUCAAGUUCUUCUAUUAUCUUAUUAUUGUUCUAUUGUAUUUUUGUAUUUUCCUUAAAAUGAAUUUCAGGUCAGAGUAUUUGUUAUUCACACAA